RNAcentral lists this unclassified non-coding RNA (329 nucleotides) under plant metagenome. RNAcentral's name for it is "partial contains 5.8S ribosomal RNA, internal transcribed spacer 2, and large subunit ribosomal RNA". The stretch from base 1 to 105 matches the Rfam family "5.8S ribosomal RNA", at positions 50 to 154 of the family's 154-position model. The record is from RNAcentral.
GAAAUGCGAUAAGUAAUGUGAAUUGCAGAAUUCAGUGAAUCAUCGAAUCUUUGAACGCACAUUUCGCCCGUCAGCAUUCUGGCGGGCAUGCCUGUUCGAGCGUCAUUUCAACCCUCAGGACCCCCCUUUCGCGGGGAGGGACCUGGCGUUGGGGAUCGGCCCGCCCCCCGCGGCGGCGCCGUCCCCGAAAUCUAGUGGCGGUCUCGCUGCAGCCUCCCCUGCGUAGUAGUUACAACCUCGCAUCGGAGCGCGGCGCGGCCACGCCGUAAAACCCCCGACUUUCUGAACGUUGACCUCGGAUCAGGUAGGAAUACCCGCUGAACUUAAGC